Molecule: long non-coding RNA, 1320 nt
Filed under: Lepisosteus oculatus (spotted gar)
Lineage: Eukaryota; Metazoa; Chordata; Actinopteri; Semionotiformes; Lepisosteidae
Description: lncRNA (ENSLOCG00000021738.1)
Source: RNAcentral
GAGAAGGUCUUUUACUCGUCUGCGUUACACAGGAAGUUGUUACUGUUGGUGGCGGUGGUGAUGAUGAUGAUGAACUUGGUGCACGGAAAAAUAAAUAUAAGUAACUUGAACAUUAUGUCCAGAACUGCGGUGAUAAAUUCUGUCCAGUCAGUGGUUUUGGCUCUGAUUGUUUGAAGCUGCAGCAGAUAGUGUGUGCCAGAGGCCAUGGCUAUCCGAGGCAGAAAUUAUACAAGAGUGACCUGCUCGCACGCUGCAGUCACUCUUGACCAGAAGAAAAGGAUGGUGACCUGAAAUAAUGCCUAGAUACCAACUGCUGUUCCGGAAAGAUGUCUUUAUCUGAGGCAACUGGAACUAUUAUAUGGUUACUUAGCAGAAGAACCGGAGUGCAGAUUCCAGAGCUGGGCGAGAGAGUUGCAUUUGCACACUGGCUGGGUGCGAUACCUUUAAAGAUGAAAUCUGAUGUGUAGGAGAGAGGCGCCGCUAACAAGAGCCAACUCAUCAGAGAAUAUCCAAAUUACAACACAGCUGUCGACAAGUGGAGCUGGGCCUUCACUGAAGUGAGUGUCAGGGAGGUCCGUGUGUAGCUUAGAUCAGCAUGAAAACAAUCGCAACAUUCUUCAGCCCACUCCUCUCUGCUGGCUGAAGCGGUGACUGUUUUAUGCACAGUGUGCUGUGGGAGAGUUCAGACAGAUGUCUCCGGGACGCACCGGGGCUUCGGAGGAAUCAGACUGAAACCAGGAUUGUGACAACUGAACAGGUGGAGGAACUGCUGUGCAGGUACUCACAGCAGACUGAAGGCGCUCUUCUCCCCCCAGCUACUAGACCAACAACAUUUCCAUUAGAAAAGGAGCUUGCGGCGUAUUUAUAGCUGGUUAAUUUCGGUGUUACGACGCGGAGCUCCGAGUGGGGUUCGGUAGGGAUCACUGUCAUGGUUUUUGGGCUUUCAUGACAAACUCAUAGACAGCAAAAUACACAAACAAACAAACAAGGGAGGUGGUGAUACCCUAACCUGAACUACUAAGGUGAUACACCAUGUUUUUAUUUAAAAAUAUGAAGGAAUUAUAACAUGAUUUGGGCUAUCUGACAUGGAGCUAUUUUUUGCCCUUAUUUUUCACCUUUUAUUUUACCUUUUCGUUUUUUUUUUUUUUUUGCCUGAUAUGAUGAAACAAAAAUUGUUCUUCAUUUGCUUCAUUUUUUCCCCUCUGACCUUUGUGGUUACUGUGUUUGUAGGGUUUCUGGGGUCCUAAAUUAAAAGGAAAAUCUGAUAUGUUUUUAGAUGCACAGUGUGUUUCGCCCAGCGUAAUAUUUCAGAGCGAGUGG